RNAcentral lists this ribosomal RNA (253 nucleotides) under uncultured bacterium. RNAcentral describes it as "partial 16S ribosomal RNA". It matches the Rfam family "Bacterial small subunit ribosomal RNA", at positions 524 to 776 of the family's 1533-position model. The record is from RNAcentral.
UACGUAGGGUGCGAGCGUUGUCCGGAAUUAUUGGGCGUAAAGCGCGUGUAGGCGGCUUUGCAAGUCGGGUGUGAAAGCCCUCAGCUUAACUGAGGAAGUGCGCCCGAAACUGCAGAGCUUGAGUACCGGAGAGGAUGGCGGAAUUCCCCAAGUAGAGGUGAAAUUCGUAGAUAUGGGGAGGAACACCGGUGGCGAAGGCGGCCAUCUGGACGGAUACUGACGCUGAGGCGCGAAAGCGUGGGGAGCAAACAGG